UAUUCUUCUUGGCCUUUUGGCUAAGACUGUCAUGUCUGUUCUUGUCUGUUUAGUAUCUGAUAGGUCUUUGCUGUGAGGACUUACUAUUAAAUAGCUUUGGGGAGCUGGGCUGUGGCCUGUAGGUUUGCUUUUCUUCCCCCUGCACCAAAACCCCUCAGUGACCCAUC
Athene cunicularia (burrowing owl) is the source of this 167-nucleotide small nuclear RNA. Its record names the gene U2. It matches the Rfam family "U2 spliceosomal RNA". From Rfam's summary of the family: U2 is a small nuclear RNA (snRNA) component of the spliceosome (involved in pre-mRNA splicing). Complementary binding between U2 snRNA (in an area lying towards the 5' end but 3' to hairpin I) and the branchpoint sequence (BPS) of the intron results the bulging out of an unpaired adenosine, on the BPS, which initiates a nucleophilic attack at the intronic 5' splice site, thus starting the first of two transesterification reactions that mediate splicing. The record is from Ensembl. NCBI's taxonomy places the organism in Eukaryota, Metazoa, Chordata, Aves, Strigiformes, Strigidae.